UUUAGUCGCAUGUUCUAGACCCGAAGCGGGGUGAUCUAGCCAUGGGCAGGUUGAAGCGUGGGUAAGACUGCGUGGAGGACCGAACCCACCAACGUUGAAAAGUUGGGGGAUGACCUGUGGUUAGGGGUGAAAGGCCAAUCAAACUCCGUGAUAGCUGGUUCUCCCCGAAAUGCAUUUAGGUGCAGCGUCGUGUGUUUCUUGCCGGAGGUAGAGCACUGGAUGGUCUAGGGGGCCUACAAGCUUACUGAAAUCAGCCAAACUCCGAAUGCCGGUAAGUGAGAGCGCGGCAGUGAGACUGCGGGGGAUAAGCUUCGUAGUCGAGAGGGAAACAGCCCAGAUCGCCAGCUAAGGCCCCUAAGCGUGUGCUAAGUGGAAAAGGAUGUGGGAUCGCAUGGACAACCAGGAGGUUGGCUUAGAAGCAGCCACCCUUUAAAGAGUGCGUAAUAGCUCACUGGUCAAGUGGUUCCGCGCCGACAAUGUAGCGGGGCUCAAGCACACCGCCGAAGCUGUGGCAUUCACACUUUACUUCGCUUGUCGACUUGAUCGGCUGGUGCAGGUGUGUGGAUGGGUAGGGGAGCGUCGUAUGGCGGGUGAAGCGGCGGAGUGAUCCAGCCGUGGACGCCAUACGAGUGAGAAUGCAGGCAUGAGUAGCGAAUGAAGGGUGAGAACCCCUUCCGCCGGAUGACCAAGGGUUCCAGGGCCAGGCUAAUCCGCCCUGGGUGAGUCGGGGCCUAAGGCGAGGCCGAGAGGCGUAGUCGAUGGAUAACGGGUUGAUAUUCCCGUACCCGCGAAGGAACGCCCAAGACGAACCUCGUGGUACUAACUGCCCAAAACUGGUGAGGACUUCGGUCUGAGCCGGCGGCGGCCAGGACCUUCACGGGUAGUAGUUUAGUGAUGGGGUGACGCAGGAAGGUAGCUGAUCCCGGCCGGUGGUUGUGCCGGGGUAAGCGUGUAGGCCGUGGUGUAGGCAAAUCCGCACCACUCAUAGGCUGAGACGUGAUGCCGAGCCGUUCUGGUGAAGUCAGUGAUCCUAUGCUGCCGAGAAAAGCCUCUAGCGAUGUUCCGAGCGGCCCGUACCCGAAACCGACACAGGUGGUCAGGUAGAGAAUACUAAGGCGACGGGUGAACUGUGGUUAAGGAACUCGGCAAAUUGCCCCCGUAACUUAGGGAGAAGGGGGGCCGGACGCGUGAAGCCCCUUUGCGGGUGGAGCGUGGUAUGGCCGCAGAGAGCAGGGGGAAGCGACUGUUUACUAAAAACACAGGUCCAUGCCAAGUCGUAAGACGAUGUAUAUGGACUGACGCCUGCCCGGUGCUGGAACGUUAAGGGGACCUGUUAGCUCUUCGGGGCGAAGCGGAGAACUUAAGCGCCAGUAAACGGCGGUGGUAACUAUAACCAUCCUAAGGUAGCGAAAUUCCUUGUCGGGUAAGUUCCGACCUGCACGAAUGGCGUAACGACUUCCCCACUGUCUCAACCACAGGCCCGGCGAAAUUGCAGUACGAGUAAAGAUGCUCGUUACGCGCGGCAGGACGGAAAGACCCCGGGACCUUUACUAUAGCUUGACAUUGGUAUCUGAAUUUAAUUGUGUAGGAUAGGUGGGAGCCGGUGAAGCUCGGACGCCAGUUCGGGUGGAGGCGCUGUUGAAAUACCACUCUGUUGGGUUUGGGUAUCUAACUUGCGGCCCUGAUCGGGUCGAGGGACAGUGUCUGGUGGGUAGUUUAACUGGGGCGGUUGCCUCCUAAAGGGUAACGGAGGCGCCCAAAGGUUCCCUCAGCCUGGUUGGCAAUCAGGUGUUGAGUGUAAGUGCACAAGGGAGCUUGACUGUGAGACUGACGGGUCGAGCAGGGACGAAAGUCGGGACUAGUGAUCCGGCACUUGCGUGUGGAAGCGGUGUCGCUCAACGGAUAAAAGGUACCCCGGGGAUAACAGGCUGAUCUUCCCCAAGAGUCCAUAUCGACGGGAUGGUUUGGCACCUCGAUGUCGGCUCGUCGCAUCCUGGGGCUGUAGCAGGUCCCAAGGGUUGGGCUGUUCGCCCAUUAAAGCGGUACGCGAGCUGGGUUUAGAACGUCGUGAGACAGUUCGGUCCCUAUCCGCCGUGCGCGUUGGAUACUUGAGAAGGGCUGUCCCUAGUACGAGAGGACCGGGACGGACGAACCUCUGGUGUGCCAGUUGUUCUGCCAAGGGCACGGCUGGUUGGCUACGUUCGGAAGGGAUAACCGCUGAAAGCAUCUAAGCGGGAAGCCUGCUUCGAGAUGAGGUAUCCCACCACCUUGAGUGGGUAAGGCCCCCAGCUAGACGACUGGGUUGAUAGGCCGGAAAUGUAAGCACGGUAACGUGUUGAGUUGACCGGUACUAAUAGGCCGAGGGCUUAACCAU
RNAcentral lists this ribosomal RNA (2374 nucleotides) under Actinoplanes aureus. RNAcentral describes it as "Bacterial large subunit ribosomal RNA". It matches the Rfam family "Bacterial large subunit ribosomal RNA", at positions 695 to 2925 of the family's 2925-position model. Lineage: Bacteria; Bacillati; Actinomycetota; Actinomycetes; Micromonosporales; Micromonosporaceae. The record is from Rfam by way of RNAcentral.